Molecule: ribosomal RNA, 492 nt
Filed under: uncultured bacterium
Lineage: Bacteria
Description: partial 16S ribosomal RNA
Rfam family: Bacterial small subunit ribosomal RNA
Source: RNAcentral
AGUGAACGCUGGCGGUAGGCCUAACACAUGCAAGUCGAACGGCAGCACAGUAAGGGCUUGCUCUUACGGGUGGCGAGUGGCGGACGGGGGGGGAAUACAUCGGAAUCUACUUUUUCGUGGGGGAUAGCGUAGGGAAACUUACGCUAAUACCGCAUACGACCUACGGGUGAAAUCAGGGGAUCUUCGGACCUGGCGCGAUUAAGUGAGCCGAUGGCGGGUUAGCUAGUUGGCGGGGUAAAGGCACACCAAGGCGACGAUCGGUAGUUGGGCUGAGAGGAUGAUCAGCUCCCCUGCACUUGUGCCAAGGCCCAGACUACUACGGGAGGCAGCAGUGGGGAAUAUUGGACAAUGGGCGCAAGCCUGAUCCAGCCCUACCGCGUGGGUGAAGAAGGCCUUCGCGUUGUAAAGCUCUUUUGUUGGGAAAGAAAAACAGCCGGUUACUCCCCCGCUGUUCUGACGGUACCCUACGAAUAAGCACCGGCUAACUUCGUG